GAUGAACGCUAGCGGCAGGCCUAAUACAUGCAAGUCGGACGGGAUUCAGGAGCUUGCUUCUGCUGAGAGUGGCGCACGGGUGCGUAACACGUAUGUAACCUACCUUUAUCAGGGGGAUAGCCUCUCGAAAGAGAGAUUAAGCCCGCAUAAAAUCACAGCACAGCAUUGUGUAAUGAUCAAAUAUUUAUAGGAUAAAGAUGGGCAUGCGGAACAUUAGCUAGAUGGCGGGGUAACGGCCCACCAUGGCGACGAUGUUUAGGGGAUCUGAGAGGAUGGCCCCCCACACUGGUACUGAGACACGGACCAGACUCCUACGGGAGGCAGCAGUAAGGAAUAUUGGUCAAUGGGCGGAAGCCUGAACCAGCCAUGCCGCGUGCAGGAAGACGGCCCUACGGAUUGUAAACUGCUUUUAUACGGGAAUAAACCCAGAUACGUGUAUCUGGCUGAAUGUACUGUAAGAAUAAGGAUCGGCUAACUCCGUG
This 482-nucleotide ribosomal RNA is filed under the name uncultured bacterium. RNAcentral describes it as "partial 16S ribosomal RNA". It matches the Rfam family "Bacterial small subunit ribosomal RNA", at positions 28 to 507 of the family's 1533-position model. The record is from RNAcentral.